RNAcentral lists this ribosomal RNA (253 nucleotides) under uncultured bacterium. Its description in RNAcentral is "partial 16S ribosomal RNA". It matches the Rfam family "Bacterial small subunit ribosomal RNA", at positions 524 to 776 of the family's 1533-position model. The record is from RNAcentral. RNAcentral also lists the same sequence under 1 other name.
GACAGAGGGUGCAAACGUUGUUCGGAAUUACUGGGCGUAAAGCGCGUGUAGGCGGUCUGGUAAGUCGGGUGUGAAAGCCCGGGGCUCAACCCCGGAAGUGCAUUCGAUACUACCAAACUAGAGUACUGGAGAGGAUGGUGGAACUCUCGGUGUAGAGGUGAAAUUCGUAGAUAUCGAGAAGAACACCGGUGGCGAAGGCGGCCAUCUGGACAGAUACUGACGCUGAGACGCGAAAGCGUGGGGAGCAAACAGG